AGAGUGAACGCUGGCGGCAGGCCUAACACAUGCAAGUCGAACGGCAGCACAGAGGAGCUUGCUCCUUGGGUGGCGAGUGGCGGACGGGUGAGGAAUACGUCGGAAUCUGCCUAUUUGUGGGGGAUAACGUAGGGAAACUUACGCUAAUACCGCAUACGACCUACGGGUGAAAGCGGAGGACCUUCGGGCUUCGCGCAGAUAGAUGAGCCGACGUCGGAUUAGCUAGUUGGCGGGGUAAAGGCCCACCAAGGCGACGAUCCGUAGCUGGUCUGAGAGGAUGAUCAGCCACACUGGAACUGAGACACGGUCCAGACUCCUACGGGAGCCAGCAGUGGGGAAUAUUGGACAAGUGGGCGCAAGCCUGAUCCAGCCA
Molecule: ribosomal RNA, 373 nt
Filed under: uncultured soil bacterium
Lineage: Bacteria
Description: bacterial SSU rRNA
Rfam family: Bacterial small subunit ribosomal RNA
Source: RNAcentral